This 25-nucleotide small nuclear RNA is filed under the name Arabidopsis thaliana (thale cress). RNAcentral's name for it is "snRNA_13446". The record is from RNAcentral. Lineage: Eukaryota; Viridiplantae; Streptophyta; Magnoliopsida; Brassicales; Brassicaceae.
UGAAGAAAUUCAACCAAGCGCGGGU